GGGUUAGUAGGUAGGGCUAGUAGGUAGGGUUCGUAGGUAGGGUUCGUAGGUAGGGUUCGUAGGUAGGGUUAGUAGGUAGGGUUCGUAGGUAGGGCUAGUAGGUAGGGCUAGUAGGUAGGGCUAGUAGGUAGGGCUAGUAGGUAGGGUUCGUAGGUAGGGUUCGUAGGUAGGGUUCGUAGGUAGGGUUAGUAGCGCGUCUGUGCUGCUUCCACCUGGUGCUUCCUGUUCCCAAAUCACAAGGGCCUGAAGGUGGUCCCUGCUUUCUCUUUCUCUUUCUCUGUGUCUCAGAUGGCGAUUUUGCUGACAGCUGCCAAGAAAAUGCUUCACUCAACAGUCCUCAUGUGCCCAGAGAUGUUUAUAGAACUGUUUGAAUUGCAGCCAUCCCCUGCCCCCUCCCAGGCUGAAGAUCUGUUCUUUUUAAGUUGAUUCGGGAGUGGCAUUCUUUUAUACCCAAAGACUGUAGUGCAUCUUGAAGAGCUCAAAGCACAUGACCGCACAAAUGCUUACAGGGUUUCCUCCCGAGUAAUCCAAUCUCACUCCCCUUGUAAGGGAAUUCUGGGGCAGCUAUGGUUUGAGUAUGCAGUUUGCAUCGUGUUUCUACCUUUAGUACCUUGCCACUCUUUUAAAACGCUGCUGUCAUUUCCCAUUUCUUAGUACUAAUGAUUCUUUGAUUCUCCCUCUAUUAUGUCUUAAUUCACUUUCCUUCCUAAAUUUGUUAUUUGCAUAUCAAAUUCUGUAAAUGUUUUGUAAACAUAUUACCUCACUUGGUAAUACAAUACUGAUAGUCUUUAAAAGAUUUUUUUAUUGUUAUCAAUAAUAAAUGUGAACUAUUUAAA
RNAcentral lists this long non-coding RNA (836 nucleotides) under Homo sapiens (human). Its description in RNAcentral is "HSALNT0245580". Lineage: Eukaryota; Metazoa; Chordata; Mammalia; Primates; Hominidae. The record is from RNAcentral.